This 560-nucleotide ribosomal RNA is filed under the name uncultured archaeon. RNAcentral's name for it is "bacterial SSU rRNA". It matches the Rfam family "Archaeal small subunit ribosomal RNA", at positions 325 to 887 of the family's 1478-position model. The record is from RNAcentral.
ACGGGGUGCAGCAGGCGCGAAAACUCCGCAAUUCGCGAAAGCGUGACGGGGGAACUCCAAGUGCUGCAGCGUUAGCUUAGCUUUUAUAAAGUGUAAACAUCUUUAUGAAUAAGGGCGGGGCAAGACCGGUGCCAGCCGCCGCGGUAACACCGGCCGCUCAAGUGGUGACCGUUAUUAUUGGGCCUAAAGCGUCCGUAGCCUGUCUGAUAAGUCCUUGGGUAAAUCCUGACGCUUAACGUUAGGAAUUCUAGGGAUACUGCCAGACUCGAGGCCGAGAGAAGUCAGAGGUACUCUUGGGGUAGCGGUGAAAUGCUGUAAUCCUGAGGGGACCACCAGUGGCGAAGGCGUCUGACUAGAGCGGGCCUGACGGUGAGGGACGAAAGCCAGGGUAGCGAACGGGAUUAGAUACCCCGGUAGUCCUGGCCGUAAACGCUGCGCGCUAGGUGUUGCAUGCUCUACGGGGGCAUGCAGUGCCGAAGAGAAGUUGAUAAGCGUGCCGCCUGGGAAGUACCAUCGCAAGGUGGAAACUUAAAGGAAUUGGCGGGGGAGCACCACAAGGG